AAAAAAACUUUUGUCUAAAUAUAAGAAAAACUAUAAGCACAAUGUAAGACAAAUUAUAGAAUUUUAUAAUCAUGAACUAUCAAAUUCCAGGUACAACAUUUAAUCAAAGUAUAUAAAGCUUUCAAGUAUAUUAUAAUAAUCUCCUCUCAGCGGUAAUAACAAAAGCCUUAUCUAGAUUGUCAAUCUUUUUAUCGAACUCCAUCUCUUGCUAUUAAAAUAUAGUUUCUCCAUGUCCUUAGAAAUCCACAUAACCAUAAAAGGUAAAGAGAAGACAAACAUAAUCAUUGAGAGACCAACCAAAUGUUAGAAGGUGAUCCUGUCAUAACAUAUACAGCCAACAACCAUGUACACAAUUAAUGGAAAUUAAGACCAAUAACCUGAAAAUUUCAAAUUCGAUGAAACAUGAAUGCUACUUAAUCUAUAACAUAAGAAUCCAUAUUAUCGACACUUAAAUGUAUAAAGAAAAUGAGCACAUUAUAAAACAAGAAUGAGUAUAUAAUAUGUUUUGUUCUUAAUUUAAUAUUUUUACUUUUAACUCCAAUCAUAACUCAAAUGGCAAAAAUCAAUAUUGCUAUGAAGUUUUCUUUCAACCUUAAUGGUAAAGAAAAAAUGUGUAGGUGCUGAAUCACGUUUUAGGGACUGUUUGGAUCACUUGUGAAACUCAUAAACUUAAGUUACUUUUACAAUUUGUUUUCAGUUUAUUUCAAUAAAUUUAUGUAAAAAAAGUAUGAUUAUCUUAAUGUUUAAAUAAGUUAUUUAUCUAAUAGAGCUAAGUAUAUGAAGCAAUCAUUUGGGUU
Molecule: long non-coding RNA, 797 nt
Filed under: Lathyrus oleraceus (garden pea)
Lineage: Eukaryota; Viridiplantae; Streptophyta; Magnoliopsida; Fabales; Fabaceae
Description: Pisum sativum (pea) long non-coding RNA (PSAT_LNC012103)
Source: RNAcentral